This 254-nucleotide ribosomal RNA is filed under the name uncultured bacterium. RNAcentral's name for it is "partial 16S ribosomal RNA". It matches the Rfam family "Bacterial small subunit ribosomal RNA", at positions 524 to 776 of the family's 1533-position model. The record is from RNAcentral.
UACAGAGGGUGCGAGCGUUAAUCGGAAUUACUGGGCGUAAAGCGUGCGUAGACGGCUAUCUAAGUCGGGUGUGAAAGCCCCGGGCUCAACCUGGGAAUUGCAUUCGAGACUGAAUAGCUAGGGUGCGGUAGAGGGAAGCGGAAUUUCCGGUGUAGCGGUGAAAUGCGUAGAUAUCGGAAGGACCAUCAGUGGCGAAGGCGACUACCUGGCCUGUUUCUUGACGCUGAGGCGCGAAAGCUAGGGGAGCAAACGGG